GGGUGUGAGUUGAUUGUGGCUUGUUGUUGAGGUGAUUUUGAGUUCUAUUUUGUUUGGUAUCUGCUUUAUUAAGGUUUAGAAUUCCUAAUAGAUUUGAAAAGGCUAAUGACUUUGACAUGCUUUAGACAUCGAUUUUACAUAGUUGUUUGGGAUCGGGUUUGUUAUUUGAAUUUAAUUUGUCGAUAGUGUAUAUACUUUUGUUAUUCAUUUGGUGCAUAGCUUUGACUCUGUUUUCUUUUAGAGGAAAACACAUUUGCUAGUUGAUUAUAUUUUGUUUCGAAUUGUGUUUCUAUGUAGUUUUGAAUUGUCUAAUAGACUAGUAAAUGUG
This 328-nucleotide long non-coding RNA is filed under the name Brassica napus (rape). RNAcentral's name for it is "long non-coding RNA (BNAP_LNC016871)". Lineage: Eukaryota; Viridiplantae; Streptophyta; Magnoliopsida; Brassicales; Brassicaceae. The record is from RNAcentral.